Neopelma chrysocephalum (saffron-crested tyrant-manakin) is the source of this 843-nucleotide long non-coding RNA. RefSeq lists it as uncharacterized. Lineage: Eukaryota; Metazoa; Chordata; Aves; Passeriformes; Pipridae. The transcript has 2 exons. The record is from RefSeq and is a predicted model, not a curated record.
CCAGUACUGCAAGGCAAUCUCUUUCUCCUGGACGAGUACUUUAAAAUCUAUUUAGGUAAAAAAAUAUCGCACUUUUCUAGGUGCCCUGCCUGGGUAUCAUUUAGUGGUGAACAUAAAGCAUUAGCAAGCAAGCAAGGCUGUUUUUCAGGGCUACUGAAAUAUAUCCAUUACCAUUGUCUGAAUUAGCAGCUUCAGGGCAAGGUCCCAUCCAUGCUCUGAAAGUACCAGAAAAGCAACGGCGCUGAACUGAUCUGAGCACCAGCAGCACUUGGCAUUCUCCCCAGAGCUGUCUGAGCAAACAAGGCAAAGGGGAAAAAGCCUGUCCCUCCCUCUCUCCACCUGCCCAGUGACUCAGAACAACUAGAAAUGGCAGCUUAACUCUCAGAACGCAGACCGAUAUAUCCAGCAGUCAGCGUGAGGGCAUCGGGAGUGCCAAGAAAAUUACAAGGACCCAUUCAAAUAGUCACCACAGCCUCAGCCACUGGAAAUGCUGGCAGUAUAUACCCUAGAACUGCAUUUGUGUUUUGAGCUCAUAACUUUUUAAGUAUUCCUUGAGUUUCACUUGCAACAUGUAGGCAUUGUUCCCACCUCAAAGAAUGACAUCAAGUUCGUGAUUAAAGCAAAAACAGAAUCCAACCUCUGAAUUCAAACUGCAUAUUCUAACCACAACACCAUGCUCUCAAGCAACUAUAUGUUGAAGCUAUACUUACAUUUUUCGCAAAGUCUUCCAAUUGCUGUCAAAAAAAAAAAGAAAAAGAAGAAAAAAUUAUUUGAGGCAGAGGCAGGAGAAAAAUCCAAGUAACUCCAAAGCUUGAAUGUGAAAUAAUUAUCUUCUGCAGUGAU